CCUACGGGCGGCAGCAGUGGGGAAUAUUGGGCAAUGGGCGCAAGCCUGACCCAGCAACGCCGCGUGAAGGAAGAAGGCUUUCGGGUUGUAAACCUCUUUCGUCAGGGAAGAGUAGAAGACGGUACCUGACGCAUACGCCACGGCUAUCUACGGGCCAGCCGCCGCGGUAAUACGUAGGUGGCAAGCGUUGUCCGGAUGUACGGGGUGUAAAGGGCGUGUAGCCGGGUUGACAAGUCAGAUGUGAAAGCCUGCGGCUUAACCGCAGCACUGCAUUUGAAACUGUUGGUCUUGAGUGCUGGAGAGGCAGACGGAAUUCCUAGUGUAGCGGUGAAAUGCGUAGAUAUUAGGAGGAACACCAGUGGCGAAGGCGGUCUGCUGGACAGCAACUGACGGUGAGGCGCGAAAGCGUGGGGAGCAAACAGGAUUAGAUACCCCAGUAGUC
This 442-nucleotide ribosomal RNA is filed under the name uncultured bacterium. RNAcentral's name for it is "partial 16S ribosomal RNA". It matches the Rfam family "Bacterial small subunit ribosomal RNA", at positions 338 to 795 of the family's 1533-position model. The record is from RNAcentral.